RNAcentral lists this small RNA (659 nucleotides) under Histoplasma capsulatum var. duboisii H88. RNAcentral describes it as "Histoplasma capsulatum H88 hypothetical RNA". The record is from RNAcentral. Lineage: Eukaryota; Fungi; Ascomycota; Eurotiomycetes; Onygenales; Ajellomycetaceae.
UGACCUGAUGUUGCCCUGGUAGACACGUUCGGAACGGUGUGCUGAGGGUGAUUCAUUUGCCAGCAAUCCGACCCGGAUAACACCCGUGGAACCAAGUUGAGGCCAGCAGGUGUGUUGGAAUCCGAUUCACGACGCAACACCGGUUGCUGUAUACCUUCCAUCUCAUGAUUAAAAUCGGUACACCUCUUCAAUGUCCGGUUUUGUAAGUAGUUAUUAUUAGUUUUCCUCAUUUCAAACUUUUCUGAACUUUUGGCCGGUAGCUUGAACUCAGGGGCAGGAGAAGAUGCGAGGUUCAUGGGAACUAUUCGACCUCCUGCAGUGACUCUGUGAUGUUUGGGUGACGCAUGUUCCUUCAAAAAUCGGGCGAAACCUGCAUCGCUUUGGGCAAGGUUACCUUGGGGCGCGUUUAAUGGUUGGCGACGAGGAUACUGAACACUAUUGGCCUGUGAGAGCAACAAUCCGUCCUCGUUACUCAGAGAAAAGCUCGAGGAGAUUCGGUGACGGUUAACCGGUUUUUCUACCAACACCCGAUUCUCAGAGUGUUCUUUCCGGUGUCUUAGAGAAGCGACUGUGAUAUCUGUCAGCUUGGCGUCAAAAGAAGGGAUGAUUUCAAGGUAAACAAGAAGAUAUUACACACCAUCGAUAGUAUUACAGCUGUA